Molecule: long non-coding RNA, 2613 nt
Organism: Phyllopteryx taeniolatus (common seadragon)
Lineage: Eukaryota; Metazoa; Chordata; Actinopteri; Syngnathiformes; Syngnathidae
Exons: 2
Source: RefSeq, a predicted model, not a curated record
UUGUGGAAUGGACUCUGGUUGAGAUGGUCCACAUGUUUUUGUUGAUCAGUUGGGACUCUCGCAGUCUGUCAACAAAGGCAGGAAGUGUCGGUAACAAGAGAUUUCUGUGAUUGGCCCGUUUACUUCCAUUUGGGCCUCCACAGAACGCAAAAGAGCAUGUGUGUUUUCCGGUCCAAUGUGGAAAAUGCGGCAUCACGGCCCGAGUCGCCAAGCCUCUCUCCUCUGUGCUCUUUUUCCCUUCCUGGCUCGGGCCACACCGCUCCACCCUGCAAACGCACUUCUCGUUUCUGCCCGAGUCUCCUCCCCCUCGGAGACGGCGGUCGGGCAACACGCGGACCUGACGUCCAGCGAGCCAAAAGUCCGGUCCGCCGAGGGUCCUUCUAAAACUUCACUGAGGCUCGGCAAAACAAAGUGCAACAGCCGGUUAAAUGUCGAGACUUACCAUGACCGAGCGAGGAAUCAAAGUCAGUCCACGGCUCCUUUCUUCGACCGGCUUUGUCUCGGCAUCUCCGCAGGGUCACCUCUUAGCGGGCCGCGGGAACAUCACCUCCUGGGAGCGAGCGCCUGCUCCUGCACGCUCGCUGCUGGAUUUCCCAGCCUGGAAAUGUCCAAGCUGCGUAGUCCUCACUCCCAAAAACCUUUCCUCCCUCUCCUCCCCCUCCUCUACUCGGCCAACAAGAGCGCCACAGUCUCGCUUCAAACUCAAACUUCCUAUUCUUAGCCCUUAGAGGGAGCUAAACCAAUGGACAACACUGAGGCUGAAGCACUUUUAAAUGUUAUUAGCAAAGGCUGCAGAGGGGAGGGGGUGCAGGGUGGAGGACGCAGAUUGGCAGCAUCUUUGGAGUCCUUUCUGCUGGCCCUUGUGAUUUGGAGCAGUCAUCACGAGAGAUUACAAACAAACGAAAAACCCUUUUCUGGCCAUUUUGGUGUCUGACGUCGUUCCUGAUCUUCCGCUACGUAUACGUACAACAGGAUUCAGAGACAAAUCUGGCUAUCGUGGGAGCGUCCUUUUAUUUCAGGAUUUCAAACGCAUUCGAGAGAUUCAUUCAAAACAGGGUCCACAUUUCAAAAGGUUUUUGGCUGUCCUCAGAGUUCUGUAUGCAAGCACACUUAACAAAAGGUUGAGCGGACGCAAAAAGCGCGUGCGACACGCGCAUCGCUGCAACAUUGACACAAAUGUCGAGCAAAACCCAUUCAAGAAUUUGGAGGAACUUCCCGAAGAGCGGCCAGAGGGCGGAGUCAGCGCAUCAUUGACGCAUCGAUAUCUAUAUACUUUCAUUCCGAACUCUUGAUCGUGGUUGUCACAGUGGAUCAACGGAAAAGUAAGUCAGGGUAAAGUUCCGACAUACGAAGCGAGAACGACCGGCAGAAGCACGUGAAGCCGUUUCCGUCGGAAAUUUUUUAAGAACGAGUCUGAUGGGAAUCGGAUUGUGUGUGUGUUCACGUGUGAGGGUGGCCUAGGACAUCCAUCCGUCCGUCCGUCCGUCCAUUCUCUACCGCUUAUCCGGGUCGGGUCGCGGGGGCAGUAGCUUCAGCAGGGACGCCCAGACUUCCCUCUCCCCAGCCACUUCGUCCCCGGGGUCUCCUCCCGGCGGGACGUGCCCGGAACACCUCACCGGGGAGGCGUCCGAAUCAGAUGCCCCGGCCGCCUCAUCUGGCUCCUCUCGAUGCGGCCCUACUCUGAGAUCCUCCCGGAUGACCGAGCUUCUCACCCGUUCUCUAAGGGAGAGCCCGGACACCCUGCGGAGGAAAGUCAUUUCGGCCGCUUGUAUCCGGGAGCGGCCUAGGACAUUAAAACUGGAUUGUUGUGGUUAGAUUUCAAGUCGUCUCUUUAUUAAUAUGCCAACUUUUACUGAUGAUAAAUGUUAACAGCAGUCGUCGCAAACCGUAAAGAUGGAACCUUUGUCGAAAUGACAAGAAAUAAUCAUGCUGUCUGUGUGACACGAACUAAACUUCCUCCAAUCCCAAUUGAUGCAAUGUGCACGUUGGUAAUGAUAGUUUAGCAAGUAUAUAUCUUUUGAUAUCAGAUUGUCGACGACUUGAAUUGAGAUUGGUUUUCGAUCAUUUCCAUCCCCUUGCAAAUAAAAGCUUGCUUCCUUCCAGCGCCUGAGGGACAAAAGAAGAGGCCAUAGUGAGCCGACAGCCAGCAAGUCAAAGGGAAAGAACCGCGUGACGUCGGCUCACGGUGGGUGGCGGCACAGCCGGCCAAGCUGCGAGCGGGGCAGGACAGGAAGGAAAAACAACGAUGUUCUGGACGACUUGUUUCUCCAGCUCACCUUUUGGCGGCGAGCGCUUGUGUUGGCGAGGCUCGCGGUUCAUCUUCGUCAUCUCCUCCUCCGGACGGUUGGCCCUCGUCCUCGCCGUUUCCUUCCCCGGGUUGCCUAGCCUGGCCUUCAGCAAAACCAAGAGCGCUUUUUGGGGACAUGCCUUCAUCCAAAAGGCGAGAUGAAUUCACCACAAACUAAACAUGAGAGAACAAUUCUUAAUCAACUUUGGACAAAAUGGGAAGGGAAAAAAAAUCCAACACGCAAAGGAUUUUGAAAUUCUGAGAUAUAUAUAUAUAUAUUGAUAAUGUUUUUUUUUAUUGCAUAUUGAUUAAAUACAAACAAUUUG